RNAcentral lists this ribosomal RNA (177 nucleotides) under uncultured bacterium. RNAcentral describes it as "partial 16S ribosomal RNA". It matches the Rfam family "Bacterial small subunit ribosomal RNA", at positions 338 to 507 of the family's 1533-position model. The record is from RNAcentral.
CCUACGGGAGGCAGCAGUGGGGAAUUUUGGACAAUGGACGCAAGUCUGAUCCAGCCAUUCCGCGCGCAGGAUGAAGGCCCUCGGGUUGCAAACUGCUUUUGUACGGAACGAAAAGGUCUCUCUUAAUACGGGGGGCUCAUGACGGUACCGUAAGAAUAAGCACCGGCUAACUACGUG